UAAUCUUGCGACCGUACUCCCCAGGCGGAACACUUAAUCUGUUAAGUGCAUCACCGCAAUGACAAGCAUCACGACGACUAGUGUUCAUCGUUUAGGGCGUGGACUACCAGGGUAUCUAAUCCUGUUUGCUCCCCACGCUUUCACGCCUUAGCGUCAGUUAUGUUCCAGCAGAUCGCCUUCGCUUUAGGUAUUCCUAGUGAUAUCUACGGAUUUUACCCCUACACCACUAAUUCCAUCUGCCCCUCCCAUACUCUAGGUUACCAGUUUCAAGUGCAGUUCUACAGUUAAGCUGUAGGAUUUCACACCUGACUUGAUAACCCGCCUACGCGUCCUUUACGCCCAGUGAUUCCGAGUAACCGCUUGCACCCUCCGUAUUACCGCGGAUGCUGGCACGGAGUUAGCCGGUGCUUAUUCAUAUGCUACCGUCAUUUUCUUGACAUAUAAAAGGAGUUUACACACCAAAAUGCGUCAUCCUCACGCGGCGUUGCUGCAUCAAGGGUUUCCCC
This 506-nucleotide ribosomal RNA is filed under the name uncultured Campylobacterota bacterium. Its description in RNAcentral is "uncultured Epsilonproteobacteria bacterium partial 16S ribosomal RNA". Lineage: Bacteria; Pseudomonadati; Campylobacterota. The record is from RNAcentral.